AAAAUUAAAUAUGAUGUCCCACUCUUAGGAAAAAAAGCUCGUGAGCCCUGAGGAUGGGCAGCCUAUCUUCCACUCCCUCAGAAUGUCUUCACAUCUCCUAACAAAGGAUGAACAAAGAACAGAGCCCUUCAGAACAACAGAAACACAGUAUUGGAGCCAACCUCACAUUGACUAAUCCCCAGGAAGGCACACAGGCUCAGGCUCUUGGGACAGGAGCUCAUUCUGUGGACCGCACUGGAGAAACAGAGGCUGGAAGGCUUUGUCCUCCCCACCUGCCCCCAUCUGAUGUGAGAUCUGAGGCAGGGCCACUGUCAGGCCUGGGAUUAAACAUCAG
Molecule: long non-coding RNA, 334 nt
Filed under: Homo sapiens (human)
Lineage: Eukaryota; Metazoa; Chordata; Mammalia; Primates; Hominidae
Description: HSALNT0130577
Source: RNAcentral